AGUCUGUCUUUCACCCAGCAUGGAGUGCAAUGGUGCCUCGAACUCUUGGACUCAAGUGAUCCUUCCACUUCAGCCUCCCAAGUAGCUGGGAUUACAGCUGUGUGCCACUGUGCCCAGCUGAGAGUAGGUUUUAAUCUGAGCAUGGGGGCAGCUAUGAUUCCCCGUAGCACCUGGGGUGAGACCAGGUCCUGGCUCCACUCACCCUGCCAGGAUCUCGUGGUCUGACACCUUCACACUGGACACGCCAUCUCUGGCCUCAUCCAGCGUCUGCACUGGCUCAGGCCUCCGUGAGCGGCAAUCCCAACAGCGGAUACUGGAAUCAAUAGAGCCUGUGAGGCCAGCAUGAUGGCUUUCACUCACCCCUGCGUGGCCCCGGAAUUUGCGCACGACCUGCCCUGAUGCCACAUCCCACAGAACCACCGCCUUGUCCCCGCCGCCGGAGCAGAGACUACUGUUGUCAAAGGAGCUGGAGUAAAGGAGGAGGAGGAUCAGCAUCGACCUCGGAUCCCAGCCUCAGCGCUCCCAUCCCAGCCUGGUCCCCGGCUCACCCGGCCGCAUCCAGCACCU
RNAcentral lists this long non-coding RNA (567 nucleotides) under Homo sapiens (human). RNAcentral's name for it is "novel transcript, antisense to WDR83". Lineage: Eukaryota; Metazoa; Chordata; Mammalia; Primates; Hominidae. The record is from RNAcentral.